RNAcentral lists this ribosomal RNA (591 nucleotides) under Triticum aestivum (bread wheat). Its description in RNAcentral is "partial small subunit ribosomal RNA". The record is from RNAcentral. Lineage: Eukaryota; Viridiplantae; Streptophyta; Magnoliopsida; Poales; Poaceae.
AUGGUCGCCGUCGCCGCGUCGAUCCCGUGGCCGCCGACCUCCCCUCGUCACGCCAAGACGUCCAGUAGCUCCGCCAUCGUCGUCUCCUUCACCCUCGCCGAAGGGCUCGAGCUAGGAGGCCACGUAUGCUCACCAUCGCCAUCGUCUUCGUCCACGGCCGCCGCAUCUCAUCAUCGAUUUCGUCGUGUCCGUCGACACCCGCGCUCGCUAACCUCGUCCACGAACUCCGAGGUGAGCUCCUCUGCCGAUUCCACCUUCGAUCUAUGCCCGCGUGUGCCGCAGCUGCAGCUACCCACGUGCGCUCGCCCGUUGUUGCUUUGCUUGUUGCCGCUGCUUGUGCCGUUGUUGCCUUGCUUGCUGCUGCUGCCGGGGGUACGUGCUGCAUCACGGGGGUCAAUCCGGUGGUCGUUGCUCCGCCGGGGGUGGCCUGUGCCGCCGAGACGAGCGCCCGAGCUCCUCUCUGUCCCGCGGGAGAGCAACAGAGGAAGGAGACAGACUUGUCAAGCGGACCCCGCCUCCUCUAGGCCCCACCCAUCAAUCUCAGCCGCACCUGCCAAGGAAGGCCCACCCGCAGGUCAAAACCACUGUUGA